This 820-nucleotide ribosomal RNA is filed under the name uncultured bacterium. Its description in RNAcentral is "bacterial SSU rRNA". It matches the Rfam family "Bacterial small subunit ribosomal RNA", at positions 44 to 854 of the family's 1533-position model. The record is from RNAcentral.
AGGCUUAACACAUGCAAGUCGAGGGGAAACGAUAUUGGAAGCUUGCUUCCGAUAGGCGUCGACCGGCGCACGGGUGAGUAACGCGUAUCCAACCUGCCCACCACUUGGGGAUAACCUUGCGAAAGUAAGACUAAUACCCAAUGACGUCUCUAGAGGACAUCUGAAAGAGAUUAAAGAUUUAUCGGUGAUGGAUGGGGAUGCGUCUGAUUAGCUUGUUGGCGGGGUAACGGCCCACCAAGGCUACGAUCAGUAGGGGUUCUGAGAGGAAGGUCCCCCACAUUGGAACUGAGACACGGUCCAAACUCCUACGGGAGGCAGCAGUGAGGAAUAUUGGUCAAUGGACGAGAGUCUGAACCAGCCAAGUAGCGUGCAGGAUGACGGCCCUAUGGGUUGUAAACUGCUUUUAUAAGGGAAUAAAGUGAGUCUCGUGAGGCUUUUUGCAUGUACCUUAUGAAUAAGGACCGGCUAAUUCCGUGCCAGCAGCCGCGGUAAUACGGAAGGUCCGGGCGUUAUCCGGAUUUAUUGGGUUUAAAGGGAGCGUAGGCCGGAGAUUAAGCGUGUUGUGAAAUGUAGAUGCUCAACAUCUGCACUGCAGCGCGAACUGGUUUCCUUGAGUACGCACAAAGUGGGCGGAAUUCGUGGUGUAGCGGUGAAAUGCUUAGAUAUCACGAAGAACUCCGAUUGCGAAGGCAGCUCACUGGAGCGCAACUGACGCUGAAGCUCGAAAGUGCGGGUAUCGAACAGGAUUAGAUACCCUGGUAGUCCGCACGGUAAACGAUGGAUGCCCGCUGUUGGUCUGAAUAGGUCAGCGGCCAAGCGA